Molecule: ribosomal RNA, 4385 nt
Filed under: Triticum aestivum (bread wheat)
Lineage: Eukaryota; Viridiplantae; Streptophyta; Magnoliopsida; Poales; Poaceae
Description: partial small subunit ribosomal RNA
Source: RNAcentral
CAUGAUAGGAUAGAUAUUUGUGAGAUAGAUCGGUGAGCAAGGUCGACGACUCUCGUUCGUUACCUGGUACGUUGUCCACGGUACCCGUAGGACGAGGGGUUCGAGCCGCUUGAGGAGUUCCUCCUCAUGUUUGACGUCUCUUCGCAGUUCCUACUAUAGUUUGUAGCUCUCUCUCUCGACCUCUCGUACGUACGACGGGAGUCGUUCCAGCCCCUGCACGGUGCCCUGGUCGAGCUGCUUGUUCAGUUCGAGACCCGGUUGCUCCAUUCUCUGGAAAGUAAGUAUUAUCUCCUAUAGUAGCUGUUCAAGGACCACGUACAGCUCCCGGGACUCGGACUUUUGUUCGGCGUGUACGAGUUUGUUGACUACUUCUUCUACCCGCCGAACAAGUGGUUCAAGUACUUUGCGGUACGGUAGCCGUUGCUCUAGUUUUCAUAGUUCCAGUCACAAGUCCUCCGCCGACUGGCCGCACUGGCCAUGUCCCAGGUGCUCCACCAACGAGUAGGUCUACAACGUUGGUGCCGGCUGGGAGCGGACAACCGAGACAUGUUCCUGGUUUUUCUCGAGCAACCGUAACUACUAAGUAACUUACUCGAUUGGUUAUACGACUCACUGCCCCUACCACUACACAGGUUCGUUGAUUUCUCUGAGAGAUAAAAACCUAAGCCUCCGGAACCGUUCUGUUGAGAACGGUUUCGUCAUAUACUAUUCGAGUUUUGUGUCAAGCUAACGUCACGAAAACAAGGCCAUCCUGCGUCGGGAUCGCACUUCUUUGAAGAGUUACUGUAAGAGAUACCUUAACCGUUCUUUUACAUGGGACCAAACCUACUUUCCGUCGACUAACUACUUUAGGCUCAUAAUGAACUCUUUUUCUCCAUUUGUGGGAUAAUAAAUUAAAGCAUAUCAAGUUCAUCAUUUACCCCUCAACUUACUUUCCGUCGACUAACUACUUGAUACGCUAUUUCUCCAUACGUAGAUGAUACAUCAUAGUUCAUCAUUUACCCCGUUUCUAUCGCAGUGUGUACGCUUCUUUACUCACUAUUUAAUACAAACUCUGUAGAGCAUAUCUUCUCAAGCCUACCUGGUACCAGUAAGAACAUAUAAAAGUUUUUGACAUAAAAAACAUAUUAUAGUUCAAAAGGAUGGAAGAAACGAUAUAAAAGUUUUUGACAACUGACAAGCGGGUGCUAAGUAUACAAAUACUUGAAGAAUACUAUCUACAGUUAAUUUUUUAUAUAGAUUAUCUACUUUCAUAGACCUAACGCUUUAAAACAAUUGGUCUUUAUCUCAAGAGCAUCUACCACGUACGUACAGAGAGAGAACAUGGGGAGGUAAAUAAAUAAGAUAUUACGGUUGAAAUCUAAGGAAUUGCUCCACCACCGACUGUAAGUACGUAGGAGAAAAAUUUCCAUAAAAUGUAUGAAUCUACAGUAGAUUUUAUCAAAGGGAUUAAAUACUAUAGAGAACACAAUACCUACCACUACUGUCCAUGAAUUAGCAGUAACUGCUGUAUACCCUAUUUUUUUGAACCCUUGAUCAGUUCUCGCGAAACCACACGUUAUUAACACCUUCGUCUUAGUAGUGUUGAUGAGCAUAUGAGCUUCAACGGUGUUCUUGACCAUUUCAUAUGUCCGAUGUUGGUGAAAGAGCACUAAAUAGCCUCCUAAAUAAAGUAUCUUCUAAUAAACCCCCAUUUUAUUUAGUAGGAUUAGUAGAUGGCAGUCUCUAUAUGUUAUUUUAAAAUGUAUUUACACCACCACAUGGUAACCGAUAUUAGUGUUAUCGAUCAAACGAACAGUCAUUUGGCCACCUCGAAACCAGAUUCCAUAUGUGUAGUUACCCAAAACCCGUACUUCUCUUACUUCUGCACCUCUUGUGUUCUUUUUAUGAAAAUAAAUCGAUAAUACUAGAGGGAACAGUGGAUUUCUGAACGAAUAACAUAGACUCGUAUAUAGGACUUCUAGUAGACUAACCCUUUCUAUCAAACUAUACCUUUACCCAGCGGCUUCCAAAAUAGGUGCUCCUUGGUCCCAAUUCUGAUAAACUCUAACCACUUUCCAUGAAGUUCCUCAACCACUUGUUUUCGUACUAUUACGGCCAUCUUUGUGGAAUAGUACCUUAGUAUUGACCAACAGCACAGGUACUGUAUUACGAACUAUACUAUACGAAUAACAGUUUCCUUCUUUUGAAACAAUGACAUAAGCUAUCACUGUUCGUUACAUGUUGAAGUGUAACGUUGAGAGCAUCCGAUCAACAAGUAGCAUCCCAGUCUGGAGACCGAUCGUGUAGAUGUAAUGUUCGUUCCAGUGAAUUACGUUACACGUCUAUACUCUACAACGGUAGUGAAAGUACGAAACUUCAAAACGCACAGGAUCGAAACCUACCGGGGUGACUAAGUGUGUUAGGAUUAAUAGAACUCGUACAACCCUUCAAUCAAGUGAACUCCAUGGAGUUUAAUCGCUCGUACCCAUACGUACUCGAGGGUUUCCUUUAUCCUAUAGAUUUCAAGAACUAUCAUAACCUGAACCGACCCUUUUCAUCUUCAUUUGAAGGUCUCUCAUAAGUAGAUGAUUCAGUUGAGUUCACGAACUUGUAGUCGCUUUGUUUCUAACUUCACGACAUAACCUAGCCUCUAAACUGUACAGAUCUUCUCGAUACGGAUCCUCGUCAACCAUAAGUGAGUUUGAAAUACUGUCUUAACCCAUUCGACUGUCUCAACUCCUUCGAGGCGUAAAGAUUUUCACACUGAUAUCCACCAUUAUAACGUUACUUAUCAACCCGCCUCAGAUAUCGGUUUGACUAGUUCUAGGUUCAGUAUCUGUAACUAAAAUAAGAGCACAUGUCUAAGAGGCCAGUACAGCUGUUGGGGACCCUUGCUUUGUAGGAGGGAGGUGUUGAGGCACACGACGCGUACCGGAUAGUUCUUGGGCCCGACCACCGUUGCUAAUUAGGGAGCGAAGAAGGGUUGGAGAGGGUAAAUGUUGAUUUACAUAUGUCAGGUCUAGACCUCCAGAAACCUUCAAAGGCUCUCGAACAAAGGGAACUCAACCAGUGUACCAGUCGAGAGGUGGUACUGUGGUAGCCGCCACAUCCACGUAAGGGGUUCGACUCCCAGAAGUUCUGUGUUAGUUGCUGAACGAGCAAAGUUCUCCCUCUAUACGGCCAGGAAUUUAGAGAACUCAAGGUUCAGCAUCGUGUACGGUUACUACUACUGUAAUCGAAACUUAAACUGAAACCAUCGGAUCCCUUGGAGGGAAAGGAAGUCCUUCAGUCUCAGAUAAAUACCCGAGGUGAACGCCUAAUGUUCUUACGAUUCCUUUAUCGCUUCGCACGUUAACUACACGAAGGGUUGACGGAAUCCGUACUAUAGUGUGUUGUCCUAUACUCCCUAACCUCAGCCUCUAAGGGUUUGACUACACAAAGGGUUAGUGUAAAAGGUCGAUCGGCAUAUAGAGGUGGAUGGCCUUAGUUCCAACCUUCGUAAUGGUUUAGUCGCUGCCUCUUUCUUUUCUAUCGAUUAUAGAAACGUAUCGGCCAGGGUUCGGGCCUUCUUCCUCCUCCCCGGUUCGUAUUUGAACACUUUACAGUUUGGUAAUUACGAGAAUCUCAAAUGACAGAAUAAAUAAACAUCCAGAACGGAAAACAAAAAGAAGUAAAAGAACAAGUUCAUAUAUGGUAGCACCAACCGGUAUAUAUCGAAGGCGGUAAAAGAACAAGUACAUACAUUGAAAUAUGAAGUUUUAUACCACCAAGUUCAAACCGAUUCAACCUUGAGCCCUUCGAUUAUUUCGACUUCUGCGGUACCCUGGUGAUACUUCUCACUAUAGAAACCUUCCAAAGGCCGUGGUGGUACUACACUACCCUCGACUUCCACAUAAAGGAUUCAGUUUGGAAAUGUUCUCAUGUUGCGGACUGGUUAAAUACCUCCAUCUCCUUCUCGAAUUAUACGGCUCGGAACUUAGAGACCUUUUUGCUUACGAACAUAGUAGCAGACCUUUUUAAUUGAAGUGCUAGAAAAGAGUUAGACUGGUGUUUUCCGAAAAAUACUCCCAAAAACGUUCGAUGUAUAAACGAGACCAUUAACGAAGGAAAGAAGAGCCUUCUGGUUUCGUACGUCGCCCAAAAACCUAUCCUGUGAUGAAGAGACCUUCACCUCACCUAAUAUAUAUGUCACGAAGGAAGAGGUCGGGUGACCAACGGAGAAGGAGAGGCUCAUAGUAAAGGUAAAUUAGCAUAUAAAAGACUCCAACCCGAAGAUUCAAGGACCAUUAUUAAAGGAGCAUUUAUUGUCGGACAGGUGUUUCGAUAUACCUCUGUGACAACGCGACGACCCGAUCGAGAAGGUACGGGUCUGCGUAUACUUUAAGAGUUUUCGAUCGGUAACC